This 497-nucleotide ribosomal RNA is filed under the name uncultured bacterium. Its description in RNAcentral is "bacterial SSU rRNA". It matches the Rfam family "Bacterial small subunit ribosomal RNA", at positions 28 to 527 of the family's 1533-position model. The record is from RNAcentral.
GAUGAACGCUAGCGGAAGGCUUAAUACAUGCAAGUCGAGCGGUAGGUGGCUUCGGCCAUUGAGAGCGGCGCACGGGUGAGUAACGCGUACAUGACCUGCCUGUCAGAAGGGGGAUAGCCCUGGGAAACUGGGAUUAAUACCCUAUGGUAUUGAUAUUAUGAAUGAUAUCAAUUAAAGUUGAGGCGCUGACAGAUGGAUGUGCGUCUGAUUAGCUAGUUGGUAGGGUAACGGCCUACCAAGGCGACGAUCAGUAGGGGGCGUGAGAGCGUGGUCCCCCCACACGGGUACUGAGACACGGACCCGACUCCUACGGGAGGCAGCAGUAAGGAAUAUUGGUCAAUGCCCGCAAGGGGUGAACCAGCCAUUCCGCGUGGAGGAUGAAGGCCCUAUGGGUUGUAAACUUCUUUUAGAUGGGAAGAAAUGCUAGAUGUAUCUGGUACUGACGGUACCAUCAGAAUAAGCACCGGCUAACUCCGUGCCAGCAGCCGCGGUGAACG